This 254-nucleotide ribosomal RNA is filed under the name uncultured bacterium. RNAcentral describes it as "partial 16S ribosomal RNA". It matches the Rfam family "Bacterial small subunit ribosomal RNA", at positions 524 to 776 of the family's 1533-position model. The record is from RNAcentral.
UACGUAGGGGGCGAGCGUUGUCCGGAUUUAUUGGGCGUAAAGAGCUCGUAGGCCGUUCGGUAAGUCAGAUGUGAAAACUCCAGGCUCAACUUGGAGAGGCCAUCUGAUACUGCCGUGACUUGAGUCCGGUAGGGGAGCACGGAAUUCCUGGUGUAGCGGUGAAAUGCGCAGAUAUCAGGAGGAACACCGGUGGCGAAGGCAGCUCGCUGGGACGGUACUGACGCUGAGGCGCGAAAGCGUGGGGAGCAAACAGG